Molecule: ribosomal RNA, 404 nt
Filed under: uncultured bacterium
Lineage: Bacteria
Description: partial 16S ribosomal RNA
Rfam family: Bacterial small subunit ribosomal RNA
Source: RNAcentral
CCUACGGGUGGCAGCAGUGGGGAAUAUUCCACAAUGGGCGCAAGCCUGAUGCAGCCAUGCCGCGUGAAUGAAGAAGGCCUUCGGGUUGUAAAGUACUUUCAGUCGGGAGGAAGGUCUCAAGGUUAAUAACCUUGGCAAUUGAUAUUACCGUCCGAAGAAGCACCGGCUAACUACGUGCCAGCAGCCGCGGUAAUACGGAGGGUGCAAGCGUUAACCGGAAUUACUGGGCGUAAAGCGCACGUAGGCGGCUGAUUGAGUCUGAUGUGAAAUCUCCGGGCUUAACCCGGGAAUUGCAUGGGAAACUGGUCGGCUAGAGUGUUGGAGAGGGAGGUGGAAUUCCAUGUGUAGCGGUGAAAUGCGUAGAGAUGUGGAGGAAUACCAGUGGCGAAGGCGGCCCCCUGGAC